This is a long non-coding RNA of Pistacia vera, 899 nucleotides long. RefSeq lists it as uncharacterized. Lineage: Eukaryota; Viridiplantae; Streptophyta; Magnoliopsida; Sapindales; Anacardiaceae. The record is from RefSeq and is a predicted model, not a curated record. The transcript is spliced from 3 exons.
UUCCUCGUCCCACUCUCACAAAAACAAAUAAAAAGCUUCCAACUUUCUCACUGGAAAACAAAUCAAAUCGCAUAAUCAAUCUCGGUUCAAGAAGCUUACAGUUGAUUGAGCAUCUGGGCAUCUCAGUGAAACGAAAUUGAAGCAUAAAAAUGGCAGAAGUAGUUAAAAAAUUCUUCAUUGCAUCGAUGUUCAUGUGGAUAUCUCCUCUCGCGAUCUUAUUUGGUUUUAGUCAUAAUUUACUUCCUGAUAUCUGUGAGUUAUACAUCUUAAUGGAAUUAAGAGAUACUGCGUAGAAAACUGAAGCAAGGAAAGAAAGGCGGAGAAAUGGAAAACCAAAAGAAUGUUCAGCCCAUUUGUCUCCUUACAGUUACAGCAUGACACUGUUGAGUGGAUUAAUUACUUGCUGUUAUAUCGGUCAAUAUUUUUAUUGCGUUCUAUAUUUAUUUGGCAAUUAAGGAACCCUUGGGCAAACACAAACCAGAUCCUGCAUUUCUCGCCAAGGCCAAAGCUAGACUAAAAAGGAAUUUUCAUCAAGAGGUGAUCUAAUUGUACAAGAUCAAACCAACACAACAAGAGCAACAAUGCAUAGUAAUUGUGAGAUGGAAACCGAGUUUAGCAUCACCUUUAUCAUUUCACGUUUAUCUACAUUGGCAUUCAUAAUCAUAUGUUCUUGACUGUCUUGCUAUUAUCCUUUUAGUGCUCUACAAGUGUCGCUCUACGUAGAGAACGAUGAUGCCAUCUAGCAUAAGCUAGACUAUCACUCAAUAAUGAAUUCGUUCAUUGGAAACUUUUCCGGGUGAUUAAGGUUUGUGGUUAUAGCGAAAUUAGAAGGGAGAAAGUUGAGUUUAUGAAGAAAUGUAGACAAAAAAUAGACUAGGGGAUUUACUUUGGGUUGAGUA